AAUGUAAUGCAUACAGUGUUAAUGCAAUGGAUUCCAUUAGAACUCUGUAGUUAAGCACACUUGGGCUAGAGUAGUACUACAAUGGGUGAUCUCUCGGGAAGUCCUAGUGUUUUACAUGC
Picea glauca (white spruce) is the source of this 119-nucleotide non-coding RNA. The record is from Rfam. NCBI's taxonomy places the organism in Eukaryota, Viridiplantae, Streptophyta, Pinopsida, Pinales, Pinaceae.